RNAcentral lists this small RNA (115 nucleotides) under Marmota monax (woodchuck). Lineage: Eukaryota; Metazoa; Chordata; Mammalia; Rodentia; Sciuridae. The record is from RNAcentral.
GUUGGGUACAGUAGUGCAUGCCUAUAGUCCCAGCUACUGGGAGGCUGAGGUAGGAGGAUCACUUGAAUCCAGGAGUUUAAGUCAGCCUGGGUAACACAGUGAGACCCUGUCUCUG